RNAcentral lists this transfer RNA (84 nucleotides) under Mycolicibacterium parafortuitum. Its description in RNAcentral is "tRNA-Pro". The record is from RNAcentral. Lineage: Bacteria; Bacillati; Actinomycetota; Actinomycetes; Mycobacteriales; Mycobacteriaceae.
GGCCGGCCUGGUCGGCUCCGGACAGCAGCCCACCGCCUCGGUGGCGGUAGGUGCCGGGGCGGGUUCGGGCGCCGGCGCCGGCGU